UUACUUUCUCAAGCACAAAGAAUUCUUUGUUUCCAUUCAUUUCAAUGUGUUUCCACAGAUAAUAAAGUAGAAGCUGAUGUUAUGAUGAGCACAAUAACAGAAUGACAGCGUCACUCCAAUUCAUGGAUUAGGACGUAGUAAUGUUGAGCCACACAUUUAAACCUGAACACAUCUGAUUGGAUUAUAAAUGGAUUUGUAUCCACAUCAUGUUUUCUUUAUUCAGAUUGAAGGACUGCAGUCUGUCAGAGAUCAGCUGUGCUUCUCUGGUCUUCAGCUCUGAAGUCCAACCCCUCCCCUCCUGAGAGAGCUGGACCUGAGGGACACCGAGCUGCAGGAUUCAUCAGAGAAGCUGCUGCGUGACCUUCUGAAGAGUCCAGACUGCAGACUGGAGACUCUCAGGAUCGAUGACGAGUUGAUCACAGCUGAGAAACACACAACAUGUGAGUAUUGCAGCAUAUCCUCCAUUCAUCCAGAUAUUACAUGAACAUCUGAUCUUAAAAUGAGAUGCCCUCAUCGUACACAAACUACUUUCAAUUGUGUUUCUGUUUGAUAUAUAAAAUAUAUAUUCUAUUUCUAAAAUA
This 581-nucleotide long non-coding RNA is filed under the name Cottoperca gobio. RNAcentral's name for it is "lncRNA (ENSCGOG00000005508.1)". The record is from RNAcentral. Lineage: Eukaryota; Metazoa; Chordata; Actinopteri; Perciformes; Bovichtidae.